RNAcentral lists this ribosomal RNA (305 nucleotides) under uncultured bacterium. RNAcentral's name for it is "bacterial SSU rRNA". It matches the Rfam family "Bacterial small subunit ribosomal RNA", at positions 334 to 653 of the family's 1533-position model. The record is from RNAcentral.
AAUUCCUACGGGGGGCAGCAGUGGGGAAUAUUGGGCAAUGGGCGCAAGCCUGACCCAGCAACGCCGCGUGAAGGAAGAAGGCUUUCGGGUUGUAAACUUCUUUUCUCAGGGACGAAGCAAGUGACGGUACCUGAGGAAUAAGCCACGGCUAACUACGUGCCAGCAGCCGCGGUAAUACGUAGGUGGCAAGCGUUAUCCGGAUUUACUGGCCGUAAAGGGCGAGUAGGCGGGAAAGCAAGUCAGAUGUGAAAACCAAGGGCUCAAACUGUGGCCUGCAUGUGAAACUGUUUUUAUUGAGUACUGGA